CAAGCGAGUCGAACCAAUGCUACGACAAACAAACUUUUAUCAGAUCCUAAACAAGACACGUUUCUCUUCCAUUUUGAAACAUUUAUUUCUACUAAGAUGGAAUAAAUCACAUUUGUUUUUAACCAGUUUCUAAGGAAGCGGGUGUUUCGAGUGAAUCACAAAUCAUCUGUUUAUAUUAUGAACUGAACUUCAUUGUGUCUUUUCAUACUGUACGCGACUUCACAGAAUUUCGCUAGUUUAACGUGUCGUACACUCUAUUUUCAACACACAAAGUUCAAAACAGGCAAACGGAGACAGUCGUUUCUUGUGGGUUAAACCAGGCCGCGGUCACGGGCCGGAACGGGGUGGUCUCCCGUGUUUAAGAUAAAACGAGAGAGAGAGAGAGAGGUGUGGUGAAAAGCCACACAGACCCUCGACAUUGAUAACCUGGACAUGAACUAGGAAGUGUGUGGAUGUUUUUACCGACUGGCGUAAAUCAUGGCGUUCGUAUUGGGACAGCCUGACGCUGCUUCUGCCCGCAAAAGUAUCGCGGUUAACGAGACUCGCGGCCCGGCGACGGCGUUCGAACCCGACGACGAUGACGACAUGUACAGCGUCUCGGAGUACUCCACGGUGGGGAGGUCGAGCAAGAAGGGCAACCACAACGACGCAGACCACUACUACAAGGCCACGCUGUCGAAAUCCACACUGCUGGAGCGACUGGAAUCCAUCACUAUGGACAACACGAUUCCGGGGAAAGAAAUUACGAUGAAGACUGAAAACGGACAAAUCAAGGAGGACACAUCCCCGGAGGGGUCCAACGACAACACAGGGGACCUUGGGGCGUUUCCGCCGGAACCGGAAGACGUGUAUGCGCCGAUGCCCUCGAGCUUCACGACGUUUGCGCAGACGCGGUUCCAGAUGAAGAUACCGCCCACGUACUGCUGUGCCGCCCUUCAGCAGCCGCUGUUACCGAAACAGGACAAGAGAGAUCAUCUGGCGUCUCUCUCAGCGUGGAUAAUGGUUUUGAGGAUUAUGGGAGAUUUACCGGAACCGGAUAUGAGUCAUAUUCUGCAGUUACCAGGGGACCACCCUCAGGUAAUAUCGAGAGUGAAGGAGGCUUUCAAAAAGCGAUACACGAAGAAAGAAAUUGAAGAAGCACAUAAAAACUAUUCUGAACUGUUUAAGAAUCCAAUGUCUGAGAUGACAGACUUGCCUUUUAUUAGCGAUGGUCGUGAGUCGAUGUUGGAGAAAGUCCAGUACGUGUGUGCCAUGGGAAUCUACAGAACUGACCUCAGGGAUGAGCUGUACUGCCAGCUGUGUAAACAGCUGACGAACAACCCGUCACGGAACAGCAUGAUGAGGGGCUGGGUUCUCAUGAUGCUGCUUGCAGGAUGUUUCACCCCGUCAGAGAAGUUUGCGCCAUGUUUUGAAACCUUUCUCCGAGAUGGACCUGCCGAGUAUGCGCAGAAGGUUGAUCGGAUCCUCAGACGAACAGGUCUCGUGGGCACGCGCAGUUUCCCGCCAAGCUGGCUAGAGUUUCAGGCUGCCAAGAACAGCAAGCCGAUCCUGAUACCGAUCACGUUCAUGAACAACGAUCGCCUGCUGCUGGAGGUGGACGCGGCCUCCACGGUGAAGGAACUGUGCUGGCAGAUCUGCGAGAUGGUGGACAUCAAGCAGAAACAGGGAUUCUCCGUCUACAUCUGUCUGCAGCAGAAGAUCUCCUGUCUUGGCCACGGCCUACACAGGAUCCUAGAUGCCAUAUCCGAGUGUGAGCAGCGCACCAGGGAGCUGGGAAUGAAGGAGAGCAGCGCCCUCUGGCGACUCUACUUCCGGAAGGAAUAUUUCACACCUUGGCACGACGCCAAGCUCGAUCCUGCUGGAACUGACGUCAUAUACCAGCAAAUCAUGCGCGGGAUAUCACUCGGCGAAUAUAAAUGCCAAAAUGAAGACAUGUACGUUCUCCUUGGAGCUCAGAAGUAUUAUUUAGAAUAUUCGGACCAAAUCGACGAGACCCAACUGGAUUUCCUUGCCAAGAACUGGUUCCCUAAGAUAUGGAUCGAGGAGUUUGGCUCGGGAUAUUUCGUGAAGAAGGUCAUGGACGCCGUGAAGACCAACUUCUCCAAAAAGCAGAGAAGCAAGGAGUCGAUCAAGAUGGACAUUGUGACGUUCGCUAUAGACAAGUGGUCGCUGUUGUUUUCCAGGUUCUAUGACGCGACCAAGUUCGUGGGGGCGGGCGUGGGUUGGGCAGAUAUCAUAAUAGGACUCAGUGGGAAGGGCAUGUGUGUGCUGGAUGAUGGUGACGCCAUUAGGAUACAGAUACCAUUCUAUGAGAUGUCAAAGGUCAAGAGAACGAGGCAGAGCGUGGUGCUGUCCACGUUUAAAGGGGAGGAAUACACGAUAACGACGCACCAUUCGGAAGACUUAAAUAGAAUCCUGUGUUCUUUUUUGUAUGGACUACGCAUGCGCUCUCGAUACGCAAUCGUCAUGCUCGAUUCCAAACAACUGGAAGCAGCAUCUGGCCUGAAUGUGGUGCGUGGGGACCUCAUUAUACUGGAUCAGCCGUACGAAGUGUUCAAACACAAGGACCUUUACAGAGGGGUGUGCAAGAGAACCGGCAAGUCAUGUGACAUACCACGUGACCUAGUCUACAUCAUCCAGACGGUGAAUGAACCCACCAUUGAUAUUCUGGGGAUGUUCGUGGUGCAAUUUCAGAAGGAUCUAGCGAGUUUCACGUCUGCUGACAAUGAACCCCCACACACGCUACAGGCAUACUCCCGACUACACUUCAGACAAGCUACGGAAAACCCUGUCUCCAAAUUAUUCAAGUCUUCGUUCAAGCGAGACAAGAACGAAACCACUUGGCAGUUCAGCAAGGAAAGUCUAAAGAAACCGCUGCUGAGAAGGACGAUAACCAGGGAGGAUCUCAAGAGCGUUGCCUGCCGCUGUUUUACUGCUAUCCAGCAGUUCAUGGGAGACGCUAGUUUGAAAGAGGAUAUCACAGAAAAACAACUGGUCACCGACUUCAUCAUAGAUCCCACGAGAAGGAACCGCUAUCUGAGAGAGGAAGUGUUCUGUCAGUUGAUGAAACAGUUGACGAACAAUCCCGACAGGUCGAGCGAGAUGCGAGGCUGGCAACUGAUGAUGGUUCUGUGUACGACGGGCAUCCCCACCAAUGAGCUGGUGGACGAGUUACAAAAGUUCUUCAGGACUCGCAAGGAUUCGCCGGCCGCCCACGAGUGUGUCAGUCGACUGGCCACGUGCAGCGAACAGGGUUGUCGGCAUUACUCUCCUCAAGACAUUGAAUUCGACAUGCUGGCGACCAAACAACCAACAAUCCGAAUUCAGAUCGUUAUACCUGACGGCACAAAGCAGACAGUCGAGGUUGGGGCGCUGACCCGGAUUAUCGACAUCAAACGUGAGGUGUGUAAGAGACUCGACCUCAGGACCUCGGAGGAAUUCAGUAUCGUGCUCUGUGUUAACAAAAAAAGUCCAUGCAUUGUCACCCAAGAGCUAUUACUUCGACUGUCUGGGCCACGCCGACAACUUCUGGAUACCAAGAAAACAUGGAUACUCGUCAGGUACUGAACCAGCAUUAGUGAUCCUGAAGAAAAUCUGGGUGAACUCCGAACCUGGGAUAGACAGUGUUGCGGAUAGCACAUUCCACUUCCCGCAGGAACUGCCGAAUUAUAUUCGAGGAUAUCACCACUGCAGCGUGGAGGAUGCCAUCAAACUGGCCGCUCUUGUGUACAGAUCAAGAUGUGGAAGCGAUAAGGGCGGGCUCUCUCAGUUUUC
RNAcentral lists this unclassified non-coding RNA (3774 nucleotides) under Gigantopelta aegis. RNAcentral's name for it is "myosin-VIIa-like, transcript variant X2". The record is from RNAcentral. Lineage: Eukaryota; Metazoa; Mollusca; Gastropoda; Neomphalida; Peltospiridae.